GGAUGAGCAUGCUUUCUCUGCGUGAGAAGAAAGAGCGAAAAGUCCCCAGUUGAAACAUCCGAAACAACCUCUUUCGUGUUGCUGCGGCAAAAAACAUUAACAUCUAAUAGACCGGCAGUACGGAUUUCCUUUCAUUUACUUAAUUUUGUUACACGAGUCAAGUUUUAUGGAUCUAAGCGCUGUGAAAACACCACAGUCCCCUCAGGGCGAAUCCAUCAAAGAGACGCGAUGAAACGCCACCACGGCCCGUUGGUGUUCCCGGAUUUUUGUGAUGAACUGAAGAUCAAAACACCUUUUUAACUUUGUGUCAAAUCUUUUUAGAAGCGGAAUGUUUCCGGCCUCCUGUCCGUGUACCUGGUGAUGUGCUUGCAUUCACAUGAAAUGAUGUUUUACAUCGUGAAAAUUUCCAAAAUAACUCGGGUACAGACGCUCAACUUGCACCUUUCAAUUCCCGUCAAAGUCAAAUAUGUUUAGACUGCAGCUGAACCGAAUCCAAACCUCCAUUUCAUGGAAAAUCCCAAAUCCGUUUUCUAUUUCCAUUAGAGGCUCACGAGGAAAGCUGAGUUGACAUAUUUGGUGUUGUUCCAAGUCCACACAUUGUGAAAUAAAAAAAAAAAAACGUUCCUAUGUUCUUAGAUAUGAAGAUAUAUGAAUAUGAAUAAUAAAUGAUUGCGUAAAUCCUUGUUAUUGUGUCAGUAACAUUUAAGGUUUAAUGGAAAUUGUAAAACAAUUAAUUUGCUAGAGGAUUGCCUGGAUCAAGCAGAUGUCAAGUCCCUGCAAGUUGGUUUUCACUGGCAAACCAUUGCCUGCCAGUUCAACCUGGCCCGUAGCGCUCAACGAGGGUGCACAUUAGUACCCUUACAGGUUCUAUCUGGUGGAACGAGCUCUCUGAAGACAUCAGGACCACCGAGAGCCUUCACAUCUUCCGCCGCAAACAGCAGACACACCUCUUCAGACUCUACCUCCACUAAAAGACUAACAAAUUGUAGCACUCAAAUUGUUCUUGUAACGCCACUUAUCUAUAGCAACUUGUAAAUUGGCUUAUUUGAGGAAAUUGCACUUUCUUGUUUCUUGCUCUGAGUUUGUACCCUAUGGUUGAAUGCACUUAUUGUACGUCGCUUUGGAUAAAAGCGUCAGCUAAAUGACAUGUAAUGUAUCUUACAGGGGAAAUGUUGCAAAAAUAGUGGAACUGAAUGUUCAAAACCGAUAUAAAAAUGACUAAGAACAUUUUC
This is a long non-coding RNA of Gasterosteus aculeatus aculeatus (three-spined stickleback), 1232 nucleotides long. Lineage: Eukaryota; Metazoa; Chordata; Actinopteri; Perciformes; Gasterosteidae. The record is from Ensembl.